GCUCAAACUUUCUACAAAGCAUAAGGACAUCAAUAUGUAUCAGAAAAUGUGAUAGAAAUUUGGGGUAAUUUCAGAGCUAAAAACAAUGGACAAAAUUAUUGUUGUUCAAAAAUUAGACAAAAGUCCCUGCACUAUAGUACAGGGACUUUGCUUAAAUUUUACCAAAAUUGAAAAGGAGACAAUUCUCCAUUAUUCCAUAGAUAGUAGACUGGAAGGAUGGAUUGGAAACGCCUAAUAGAAACGCCUAGAUUUUGUUAUUAAUGCGCACUUCUCCAAAAUGGUGGACUGUACUAUAUGACUGCCUUUCUUAUUCUUAUAGUUGAUAAAAGCGCUUCCAAAUCCAAACUGCUUUAGUAAGCAUUUAGUCAGCUGAAAAUGUCUGCCAAAGACUUGUGAUAACUUUUGUACUUUUUUCUAUUAAAUGACAAUAUUUACUUAUUGAUUUUUAUCCCUGUAUGAUAGAUAUUUACCAGCUCUGUUGCAUAGAA
Long non-coding RNA from Amphimedon queenslandica, 488 nucleotides. RefSeq lists it as uncharacterized. Lineage: Eukaryota; Metazoa; Porifera; Demospongiae; Haplosclerida; Niphatidae. The transcript is spliced from 2 exons. The record is from RefSeq and is a predicted model, not a curated record.